AGUGAAGUUUGACUUAAAAAUUUAUGGCUUUAAAUAAGGAAAAAAAAAUACUCUGGCAUAGUUACAUACCAGCUCUCAUUAGCAUUGUGUAUAGCAGAAAUUUAUUGUAAGAUUUUUACUUCUUCUGGCAUAAAUUAAAAAGGAAUUAAAUAGGAAGUUAAAUAAAAGUGAGUCAAGAGAUUUCCUGAGUCACCAGUGACCCACUCUGUCUCCUGCCCUGGGUAUCUGAUGAGGUAGGGUACCCUGGUGGCUAAGGUUCCUAUUACAUGGAUAUUCAACCAGCCCCAUUUCCAGCCUAGGGUCACUUCCCACUUCCUGUGGUAUCUGCUCCUUCUCUUCCCGAGGUGGUCCAGGGCUGCCAGCCAUGACUUAGCUUGCCUCUCAUUGGCUGCUGCCUCCACCAUGCUUGGCCUUCAUAAUUCACGCUGGGCAGGUAGAGAAUCAGCGGAGCGGGUGAUGCAUCAUCACUUAGCUGCUCUCUCUCUCUCAUGUGGGCCACUGCUGGGCUUCAGCUCUCUCCUAGAGCUCUUCCUGUUGCCUCUUUUCUCAGAAUUUGCCCUUUCCUGGCCUUCUAGGUUCAUGCCAGCCCCCCUCUCCCUCCUCCAUUCCAGCCACUGCCCUGUCAUUUAUUUCUGCAGUGGCUUAUCUUAUUUGAGAAUGAUCCAGGUCCCUACCACCUCUAAGUCUUAUUUGCCACUUGUCCUGUUACCAGCCCUGGGUGAGUUAUAUUAAUAGACUCACAACACAACAUGGUACACAACCACCAGAGCCACUUCAGAGGGAAGAGAGGAGUGCACGGAUUCCAGGUGGGCUGGCUCAUCUAAUCAGGGUGGCUAAUUUAGGUCGUGGUGGUCAGGGCAGCAGAUCAACCACUUGCCAGUCCUUUGCAUAGAUUAUUAACGGAAGCUUUCCCAUACCUCUGCAAAGUAGGUAUUCUCCAUUUUGCAGAAGAGGAAAUAGUUGCUCAGAGGUGCUAGUUGACUUGCCUCAGGUCCCAGCUGGCAGAGCCAAGACUAGAGGGGAAGCCUGUGUGAUGCACAUUGCCUGCUGCCUUUUGAUUUUAUGAUUUUAGUUAUUAGAUUUUCUGAAUUGUUUCAAGUGUGAAGAGACUUUUUUGCCCACCUGUCUAUUAUGCUUUUAUUUCAUUUCUGAACAACUAUUUCUACUUAGAGUUUCUGAACACCGUCAGCAACUUCUAUUUCCAAAUGCAGUCAAUUCAAUCAUCCCUUUAUGGAUGCAGCACCUUGGCUCACGGGUGGAUUGGCUGUAGUUUCACUCAUCUCUGCCAAACUCUUCCCUGGUACCCAAUCAGCAAGAGCUGCCGGUGCUUGUACCGUGCAUGGACCCAGUUAGUAGCUUUAAUCAAUCAGGACGUCAAGUGCCUUCCCUUUUCUGCUCUUGAGCCUUCCAAACGUGCCCAGUGUGGUUCACCCAUGAUGUGCGGUAGUGCUGCCUAUCAAGGUGGAGCCCAGCUGGUGUUCCUCUUCCGAGCACCUGCCCAGGUCACGUGGUAUGUGGAUUACGUCUGGGAUGUUGGUGUUGGUCAAAACAGCCCAGGCCUUCUGUUUGUUACUCUCUGGAUCAUGUGAUUCUGGGUGUUUAUCUCAGAUAGUUAUGUCUGGUUGCAAAGGGGGAAGGUCUAACGCUAAUUGGGUGGAAUUCUCAAGCCAAACCUUGUACUAGCUCUUUGUACAUCCAUUAUCUCAUUUAAUUCUUACAGCAAUCCAAGACAGAGGCGGCACGCAGUCGUCAAUUCAUUCAUCGGUGGAUAUCACGGAAAGGCACAGCACGUUCUGGGGCUGUGUGAGUUGCCAAAUGCUGUGGCUCCUGGGGCAAAUAAGGAAGAGGCAGAUUCUGUCCUUGAACAUGUAGUUCAAAGAAAUCAGAAACACUGAGACAAAUAAUUACAAGUAUAGUGCGUGUUGUGAUGGUAACAACCUGAUUAGUGUUGGCGCUGAAGUGACUACAGCCUCUCUUGCUGUGCUCACAACAGUGCAGGCACUCUGCGAACCCUGUUACCUGAAUGCCUGUUACUGCCCUAGCAUUCUAUGACGUCUGUGAUGAGAAAACCCUACUUUCUCUUGAGGCAAAGAGACUGAGGGGGCUUAAGUAACUUGUUCCAGUUCCCAUGAGCAGAGCUGUUUUAAAGUUAAAAGAAGAAAUUUGAAGUGUGGCAGGCAAGGCAGGAAGGGGCCAGACUGCCUGGGUUCACUUUCCGACUAUGCUUUUCAUGCGUUGCUUCGUUUGGGAACAAUCAGGUCUUCUCUUUGUGUCUCAGUUUUCCCCAUCUGUAAAAUAGGGCUCAUAGAGCCGACUCAUGGUUAUUAUUCCCAGAUUACAGAUGAGGAAACUGAAGCAGAGACAUUAAGGCAGAGGCUCAAGGUCAGUGGAAAAGCCAGGACUCAGCCCACGUCAGUCUCAUUGCAAAUUCACACGUUUAUGGUACCUGCUACCAAGACUUCCAGAGGUCAGAUAGUUUCUGGGCGAUCAGGAACAUCAAGUUGAUUCCUGGACCCCCUUCUGAUGGCAUCAAACAGGGCAAAAUGCCAAAGUACUUGAGAGAUGCUGUUGGGUGUCCACUCUGGACGCAUGUACAGAGCAUGUCCCAGGAUCUGCUCUUCCGACAAGAGCUCAUUUAAGAGGAAUGUGCUUAAAUACAAGCCCUGGUUUGGAAAUGUGAAUUGACAAGGACAAGAAAACUGACCCGCCUUUAAUGCUGAGAAGGCUUCUGGGACUCUGCGUGAUGGUGUAUUUGAUUGGGGUGCAGGGAUUUCCUUGGUGGGGGGGACCUUCUCUUUGGGAUAAAAGUGAUCCACUUUCUGCCGGAGGCAAAAGGAGUAGGAGGGGCUGUCUGCAGGUGGGCCCCUGCUGAGACGUGCCAAGGGCCGGGGAAAGGUGUCCGUCUUGAGUAGCUGGUGCUCAAAGGGGGCCAUGCCCAGAGUCUUUGUUCUCACAGGACGUCUGUCUGCAGCAAGCCCCGUGUUUCUUCUGGGACGUGCACACGCGGGCGGGCGUGCGCACAGGCCUUGGCUGGCUGGGGCUCCGGGGCUGCCAGCACCCUCCCUGCCUUUGUUUCGGGGACAGCUGAUAACCCCCAUUAACAUCUCGCUGCAGAUACUGGCAGCCUCACAAACCAGUCCUCACCUCCUCCGGGGCAGAUGGCUCCAGAACAUUCCUUCUCCCCUCUUCCUCCCCCCACCCCAACCCUGUGAGGGCCAAACAUGUUUUGCCUUUUACCGCAGACAUGCAUCUUCUUGUCUGGCCUCUUGUUUUUCUCCGGUGCAGAUUUAUGAAGAGGAGUCAAGGAAAACCCCAUCCUCAGCCAGUCCGAGGAAGAGGAUCUGCUUCUCAGAGGCACCUCCUAGUUUGCAUUCCGGUCCCCGCCCUCCAACCCUGUACAUCUCGUAUUACAAAUGCAACAAACUCAUUGUACAUGUGUCUUUUAUCCAGUCACGAAGCUUGGGUUUCCUUUCUUCCUGCAUCUCCCUCAGAACCACCCAGGUCCAGUCUCUUCCGCCCAGGCUGACACAGACCGCCGUCGCAUUUUCCCUGGACUUUUUCAAGAACCUCUCAACCUUCCCCAUGGUCUUGCCGCCUUUCCACUUUCUCCACUCCCUGCGGUGAUCUCUCUCAAAUGCAAACUUGAUCUCGUAAUUCCUGUGAUUUACGCUUUCAAACACUCCUUGUUACUCCUGGACUGAAGACAGGUGUCUGGGUCAUGGUGGGUGCUCAGUAGAAUAUUCUGGAAUUAAAUCGAGUUGGAUCUUCAUAUGAAGCCAAAUGAAAUAUCCAUUUGGAGGACUCAAAAAUGGCCUUGCCUUGUGAAUUUUUUCUUGUUCUCACCUUUGUACCCACCUGAAGUCCUUUCAUUUCAGCAGACACUUUCCCCCCAUAAUUUUGUGUGCAGUGACUGGAUGGGGGAGGUCUUAUGGAAAAAAGUCAUCUCAUAGUCCAAUAAGAAAUGGGAUAUUAGAACUGGUAGGGACCUUCGAAACCAUGCUUUUAGUUUCAACUGGUUCUAAAACAUAUCUGAGUCCCUGAUAAUUUUACUAAUGGGCACAUAUUUAAAAGUUCCUAGAAGCUACAUCAGCUUCCACCAAUAGGGAACCACAUCUCAGCAAAGGGCACAGAGGCCCACCUAGGGUGAGGGCAAUGUUUAUGGAAACAAAGAACAAUUUUGAUUUUCCUUUCUUGAGAGGGCUUCCUCAUGAGGCUUCUGGGAGGUCAACUAGUGACAUUUAAAAGUGAGAAAACUGAGUCCAGAGAAAAGGAGGUGAGUGUCCCUAGAUUACAAACUCAGUGGAUGACAGACAAAGGAUCAGUCCUUUCACCUCCUGAUUCACAAGGCAUGGGCACACAGCCCCCUGAAUUACCCUCACUGGAAGAUAACCUUUACCUAAGAACCAAAUACCAGAGAGCACAUCCAUGAAACUAGCUAAGCAGGUAGAUAUUUCGGUCUGCAAUUUUCCCAUUUUCCUCUAAGAUAGCAUCAUUUAUCUCAGUAUCUAAAGGUAACAGUGGGAAAGUCAAGGAAAAUUGAGCACCGCUGUAGAUAAAGCCCAGUUCUAGGUAUACACACACUUUACCUCCAGUAUGACAGUUUUUCCAGAUAAGAGAACUGAAAUACCGAAAGAAUUAAGUCAUUUGCUUAAGCCUAACUUCUACCCUAGAUCUGAACCCAGAUCUCUCCAACUCCCAAGUGCAAGUCCAUUUUCUCUUAUUAAUAUUUUCUCCAAAUAUCUCGCAGACCACUACGACUAUAAGGAAAUUAAAGGAAUUUAAGAGCCACAAAGAUAAUACUUACAUACCCGUGCAUAUACACCUAUUUUGCUCUAUCAAAGUCCCUCAUUAGAGAGGGUUCUUGACCUGCAAGGGUACAGAGAAGGUACCCAGUUUCCUACUUGAUAUGAGCAAUGCCCUUGGGCUUCAAUGUAGAAGGUGAGCAGGAGAAGCCAUUGCUCUGAAGGUGAUUCUUUCAAAAGAAUGAAGCACAGGUAAAUAUAAUACAAAUAUUGGUCCCGUGAUGCAGCAGAAGCAUUGAUAUCAUGGGACUGGAAUGGGGUAUAUUAUUAUUUUUUUCCCCUUUUAUAGAUCUCUGGUCAGAAGCUUAGAUUUAUCUCAAUUACUGGUUCACAGAAAAUCAUCCUCACUGGUUCCUGAAAGUCUUUUCCUCUCUCCCUCCUGGGCUCCUUCCCCGCCAUCCAUCUACAUCCUACACUUUCAUUCUCUUUCCUUAUAGACAACCAUUGGGUUUUGUAUGUAUCUCUUAUUUAUGUUAUUUCCUAAGGUAUUAUUUUCCUUAACUGAAUGCGUUUUACAUUUUGCUUUAAAAUUAAAAAAUUUUAGAAUAGUUCCGGAUUUACAGAAUGUUAGAAUAGCUUUAGAUCCACCAAAAAAUGGCCACGAUAGUACAGAGAGUUCCCACACCAAUCCCUGCUUCACUAUAAUUGUCUUAUAUUAUUGUGGUACAUUUGCCAUAGUUUGAGCCAAUACUGACUAUUAUUAACCAAAGCCCAUGCUUUAUUAAGGUUUCUUUGGUCUUUUUCUGAAUGUCCUUUUUCCAUCCUAGAAUCCCAUUGAGGAUGCCACAUUCAAUGCAGUUAGGUCCCCGCGGCUGCGACCAUUUCUCCAUCUCUGUGUUGAGGACCUUGACCUACCGGUCAGGUAUUUUGUAGGAUGUGUCUCACAGUUGUGAUUUGCCCGAUGUUUUUCUCAUGAGCAGAUGAAGGCGGUGUUUGGGGAAGGUAACAUGCCAUUCCCAUCACAUCACUGCUAAGGGUGGCUACUCCCGAGCCAGGCCUCCUCACUGAUACGGAUCUGGGUCACCUCGCUGCUCGUUUGUCAGGUUUCUCCACCUGCUUCCUCUCCCCCUUUCUACACUGUCCCCUCUUGGAAGGAAGGGACUAAGUAUGGCCUCCACUUAGGGAGCAGGGGCUUGUGCUCCCAGAGGGCAGAGUAUCUACACAACUUAUUUGGAAUUCUUCUACAUGGGAGAUUUAACUGUUCUCUACCAUUUAUUUAUUCAAUAGUUUAUUGACUCAGAUUUCCUUUAGAACCCUUUCCAGUUAAUCUCCCGUGUCCUCUUGACACACCCUCAUCAUCAUGAGUAUUGUUUCAGUCUUGAGCACUUCCUUACUUUCUGACACUAUAAGAUGCUCCAGUCCUAGAAUCAGCCAUUUCUCUAAGGAUCCUCUUCCUGGGGAAUAAGAUCAGAAUUCAAGGUCUAGGCAAUGUGUGCUCAUUGCUAUAUGGGUGCCAUUGCUUCUGUGUGCCCUCCUAGCUGACACAGUAAGGAAAAAAACCCUGAAUAGACAUAAAUAUUUCCAUAUGCAAAAACCUGUAUCUAUAUUAAACUAACCAUGAGUUCAUAAUUAUGUCUCUAGCCCCAAACCAUCACUACAUAGAUCAUUCAGGUUGCUC
Molecule: long non-coding RNA, 6420 nt
Filed under: Sus scrofa (pig)
Lineage: Eukaryota; Metazoa; Chordata; Mammalia; Artiodactyla; Suidae
Description: lncRNA (ENSSSCG00000056001.1)
Source: RNAcentral